This 63-nucleotide transfer RNA is filed under the name Dipodomys ordii (Ord's kangaroo rat). The record is from Rfam by way of RNAcentral. Lineage: Eukaryota; Metazoa; Chordata; Mammalia; Rodentia; Heteromyidae.
GUAUGGCUCACCAGUAGAGCACCUGUCUAGUAAGCAUGAAGCCCUGAGUUCAAAUUCCAGUAC